UUUUUUUUUUUCAUUUGAAUGUAGACAUCUGGCAUCCUAUAAAUAAAAUAGAAAAUGUAAAUAUUGUAAAACCCAUUAGAGAGUGGUUUUAGGUUUGGUGAGAGCGCGGGUCCGCUGCUGCCCCACUGCACUGAGCUGGGAAACCGUCACCCCCCACACACACACGCAGGCCCUCGGCUUGCCGCCCAUCACCCCUGUCACCCUUGUCACCCAGGCGGCCAGGCUGCGUUCCACUGGAUGAAUAAACUUGAAACCAGGGGCCAGUUUUCUCCUAUUGACUGUGUUAACAGUGUUGACGAGCUACCUAAAAACGUCACUGCUUUCAUUUUAUGCCACGGGGGGAAAACGCUUUGUGAAGGGAAAUCGCCGACGUUUCUGCCGUAGGAAAGAUCCCGUGUGCCCCCACUGAAGCGCGAGACGUGCCCCAGCGGCUCUCCAAGACCACGUUUAAAACGCUCCUCAAAAGACAUUUUCUGUUCGAGACAUAUUAAACAAGCUUUAUUUAAUAAUGCUCGAGUUGACUUAUCCCGUCUAAAUAUUUGCUCCGAUCAGCAACCAUUCGAUCCCGGCUUCGUUCCUGGCUGCAGACUAAUUUCUCCGGGUUAUUUUUCUUUGGUGCAAGGUCGAUCCCAGAGGCAGGGAAACUGCUCUCGGGUUCCCUCCUUUUCUCUACUCGGCGCUGCGGGUGGAACGCUGUAAAAAGCCUGAACCAGAGGCCGCGCUGAUAAAGUCUAUGUCGCUUGUUCUCCCAUCUGGCUGGCUGAAGGCAGAAAAUGUCAUUUCAAAGACUUCUCCUAAUCAGAUAAUUAUAAGGAGAGAUUUCUCCUUUUUAAGAAGAGCAUCGGAAUCUAAAGAAAUUCCCAAGGAGGUGAUCUUUUUCGGGCGCGUUUCGCCGUCUGCCUUCCCCCAUUCGGGGUUUUUUGUGACAAUCGCUUGCACGAAACACACGCUCCCCCCCCCAUUAGGCGUGCAAGAGGCUAGGACGGCGCGCAGAAACAGAGUCGUUUAAUGUCUUAAUUCACUAUGUUCUCAAGUUGGGAAUGACACUUUGGUUUCUGCUAACUUUGGGGACACUCCGUGCAGGUCUUCUGGUUACUGUCACUGCUCCUGUGAAGAUUUUAUCACCAGUGUCUAAAAAAUAAAGCCUUUUCUUUUCUUCUCCUUUUUAGGUUUAUCUUUGCGUGGGCGCCUUCAAAAACAGCCACCUUGAAGCCACGGGUCCCGGUCACCUCUCUAGGUGUCACGAAGCAUUCACAAGGACACAGACCUCUGGCAGCUACUCCAGACGGCCGCCCAGGGUAACGUCAGACUUGCUGGGGUGAGUCCGAACGCGGGUCCUGCCAGAGCAGAAACCGGGCAAGGAUGUCCUCUCUCGACGCCCCCGUCACAUCCCCCUGGAAGCCCUUGCCGCGGGAUCAGUUUGGCUACCAGGAUCUUAAAAUCACCUACGUGGCUUGCAUUAUGCCUCGGGGGACAGCCGUGGUCCCCGUGGACCCCCAUUCCAGCACAGCCUAUCAAAAACAGCUCUCUUCCCCGGCUUACCUUUGCACCGUGGUCAGGAAUCGGACCAUGUGUGUGCGGCUCCCUGGACCAUUCCACGGCCACACCACCCAUUGAAGUCGAGGCCACGUAAGUCUUCCAAUUUUAUCCUUGCUUUCCAAAUGUGUUUUUGUUAUCUUAAGUUCUUUCCAUUUCUGUGUUAAUUUUCAAGUCCGCUUCUAAGGUUUUGUUGUUGUUGUUAAAGCCUGUUGAGAUUUAUUAAAAUUACAUGAAAUCUAUCGGCCCACUUGAGGAAGGCCGACAUCUUAGAAACAGUGAAUCCUCUGAGCCAAAGAUUCCGUUUUAAGCGGCAAUCCCUAACGGUCUGACUUACCCCUAAACAGGUUUUGUGGCUUUGAUAUUAUUCCACGUGGUGCUUUUAGAUUUUUACUUUCCAUCAUCGACUCUAGAAACACAACUGAAUUUCUUACAAAGUAACCCAGAAGGUUGCUCUCCCACCGCAUGUGCUUGCCGCUUCCAGUAGUGUUUUCGUAAGCUCCUUCGGAUUUUUAUGUUCACAAGCGUGCUGCUUAUGAAGAAAGACGUUUUCUUCCAUCUUUCCAAUCGCUCUUUGCUUGUGGGGCCUUCUCACGCCAGCUGCGUCCGCAACGCAGACAGCAGUGAGGGACGCGGUGGCGGGCGGCUCUUCCUUGGCGCUGGGCUCUGGGGCACGGUCAGCCUGUGCUGCCCAUUUGUGCACGAGCCUUUGUCGGGUUCCGGAAAACUUCCUCAUUUCCAGUAUACUGAGAGUUUGCUGAGAGUUUGAAUUCUUGCCAUGUGUUUUCUGGUUGUACCAAGACGGCCGUAUGGUUUUUCUCCCUCAUUCUGUUAGUGUGGGUAUCCUCGUAUGUUUGGCUGGCUCCGGUCCCCCGGGGUAGGUGCUGGAGUCUAGUACCCUCGGUACCGGGUGCAUCGCAGGUACCGUGUGACCGAGGGAGGCUGAGCUCUGCCAUGACACGUCACCUUCAAGCCCAACCACACAGGCGUCAGCCAAGGGCAGAGAGACACGGCCCUAUCCCUCCAGAGCGCUCUCCUGCGUGCUAGGCAGGGAAGGUCCCCAGGGCGCCUGGAGCCAUCUGGAGGCCUAGCCACUUCCCACAUCAGCAUCCGUCCGUCCUCUGUAGCGCUGCAGGGAAAGGGGCCCACGCGGAGCCAUGACCGUGGAGGUCCGUCGGCACAGCUGACCACAGGAGCGUCAGACCCCGCCUGUCAUCAGGUUCGCUUAAUCCCCAGAAAACACUGUAAUCCAUGGCAUCCUCUGCAGGACCAAGGACAGAAAGCAUGAUUUAUUGCUGCUGAAGUACAUCCUUUCGUUCUUGCUCACUGCCUUGGGGAGCAGUUCCUCAAAAUGUCAGCAGCUGGCUCAGGAGGAGAGGAAACGGGCAGAGCCAGGAGGACGGAGAGGGCCAGCACAGGCGCCCUGGUCCCGAGGACCUCCGCCCGGGACUGCUGCGGGCCACCCCAGGCCAGGGAGACAUCUGGCCCCGAAGGCCUUGCAAGGGGGCUUGGACCCGCAGGAGGAGCGCAGGUCACCCCGCUUCCCGCCUGCCAGGGCCCAGCUGACCAGCUUUAUUAGAACCGGCUGCUUGUGAGUUUCCUAGAGACAAAAGGGGCUGAUCUCAGCUGCCUCGCCUGGAGCACAGGACGCGCCAGCACGAGAGCCUUCACCUUGGGCCUGGAGCCUGUCUGGUACCACCUCCCCGAUCCUCUCAAAUGGCCAAGAGGCCCGUUCUCCUGGGAGCCCUGUAGAGGCGGGAAACCAAGGCACAGAGUGAGCCCGACGGCUGGAGUCAGGCUGGUGCUCCGCAGGCCUGGCCCUCAUGGGGUGGCCGCUGGGGCUCUUGUCCCCACUUCUGCCUGGGAACGUAAGGGCCCUGAGGGUACCGCACCCCGCCACCCUCCGCAGCUGGACGAGACUGGCCAGGAGAGCCUGUUCUCUGUGGUGACUCCUUGCCUUUCGGGGUGGUGCACCCCCCUGGGAAGAGUGAGCUCCUGCUGCUGUGAGCUGCACGCCGGCUACCUGCUGGAAUGCGGCUGCUGGCUUCUGAGCGUCCCCCGUUUGGUCCCAGCAGCCAUCCUUGUCUGCAGAGCACAGCUGAGGACAGGGACCCGCACUGCCAGGGGCACAGACAGCCCCGUUACCUCCCGUGGGGCGCACACACACACGGCCCCCAGAGCAGCACAGGGACACCAAGAUGUGUCCGGUCACUGCUCCUGACUACACUGUGAGCCCCGUGAGGGCGGGACCUGCUACUGCCGUAUUCCCGGCCUGUCUCCCUCACGCGGCCGGACUCAGGGAACACCUGUCGUAGGAAUGAAUGAGUAACCAGAGUUGCCUUCAUGAAGCACCUGCUCGUGGUGGGGGCCGGGGCUCCAGACCCGCCUGGGUAAGGGUGCCGCCUCCUCACAACGUGGGGGCUGCUGCGGGGCCCCUGUCCAUGGGGUUGCGAGCUAUCCUGGCAGGUGGGGGCCGGGCUGAGUCACCCAGAAGACGCAAUGGCUCACCUGUCUGCCUCCUGGGCCCGGAAGACCAAUCGUCAGGAUGGGAGUCCCUGGGGCGCACAGGCUCCCCCUCCCCAAAAGUCUUCACAUGGGGCCUUGGUAAGGCAUCAGGGUAGCCAGAUUCUCAGGGGGUGCUGAAGGCUUCCAGAACUCGGAUUCUGGGGGAAGGUGGCAGGGCCCAUGUUGCCUCUUGCAGCCGAGCCUCGGGUCGCGCAGCCUGGCUUCCUGCCUUCUGAGAGUGGCCUGGCCAGGUUCGAGGGCCGGAGACAGAGAUCCUGCCACCAGAGGGGAGGAGGGUCAGGCAGCGCGUGGGCAUAUUUAAAUCGACCACAGAUGAGGAUUCCUAUCGUCUCCAUUUCACGGAUGACACAGCUGAGGCACAGAGAAGUCAAGUGGGUGGCCCAGGGUCACACAGCUGGUUAGCGGAGGAGCCUGGAUCUGAGCCCAGAGUCAUGACCCCCUCCCUGUGUUACAGUUCCGGGGUUCCUGUUACUCUGACCCUCCUGCCUGGAUCCCAGCGCAAAAUCCUUCUAGUUAGAGCAGGAAGUUACAUUCUCUGUCCCAAGGAACCAGUAUUUUCUAAGCUCCCGGGGGCCCCAGGUUAACCCAUGAUGAUGCCAAGGAGGACACAGUCCCUGCCCUUGGGGAGCUCCAGGCCAUCCCCACAACGGCAGCCCACGAGCUCUCAGACCACGGGAUGGCUGGCUGCAGGGCAGAGGGGGACGGGGCUGCUGGCACCGGGGGAUCCGACGGGGCUUCACCGUGGAGACAUGAAAUCUGAUAGACUCAGGUUGGGGCUCAUCAAGCUGAGCUCAGCAUGGCUGACAUCUGGGGCCAGAUACUCUUUGUCAUGGGGACCGUCCUGUGCCCCAUCACUGUGGAGCCACACCCCUAGCUUUGACCUGUAGGCUCCACACCGCCAAUUUCUGACAAUGAGCAAUGUCUCCAGAUAGCUGCAAACGCCCCCUGGAAGCAGAAUUACCCCUCGUAGGGAAACACUGGCUUUGAGGAAGGAGCAGGAAGUUUUCCGGGUGGAAGAAGCAGGUUCCAUGUGGGGCUGAGAGGUAGGCUGCAGGGCAAGCUAUGAAAGUGGACAGAGAAGCUUCAGCUAGCCUGGAGAGCCUUGCCUAGCUCGUGGGGAAAUUUGGACUUGGUCCUGUAGGCAGCGGGGAGCCGUGGAAGGUUAUUAAGCAAGGAGUGACAUGAAAGGCUUGCUGCUUAGAAAGAUCACCAUUAGUGGUGUGGAGGUGUGGAGAGUGGCUUGGAGGCUACUGCACUGAUCCAAGCAAGAGGAGACACGCACGUACACACACAAGUAGGAGUGUCGCCAGGCGAGAUGUGUGACGUGCUCCAGGAAUUUGGGGUGAGGGGAUGCUGAAGACAGGAGUACCUGCCCGUGGGUGCUCUGUGGGCACCUUGAAGAGGGCAGCCAGGAGGGAGGGGGCAUCGCUCCCUGCUGGGAUGCAGCAGCGCUGCGAGUGAAGCUGGCCACGGGGGGGUCCACCUUCCAGACGCCCUGCUGAAGGACCCAGGCAGGGCUCUGAGGCCGCAUGCCGGGAAGGACACACUCACACGUGGUUCAGGAGGGCGUGUUAGAGGACGGUGUGCAAGCGGACCGUGCGUGCACGUGCCUGUCAGGGACCCCCGGAUGCCGCUCCCCGCCCCGGUGUUUACAGGUGUCUCACCCCAGAGGGCCUUGCAGGUGCCCAGAGAACAGGCCAAGAGCUGCCCUGCCCAGGGGCCACCCCAUCAGCCACAACAAGCCCAGGAUUUAGAGUAGGCGUAAGUCCCAACAUGGGAAGCCUGAUUUCAUGUGGCCAGUCGUGGGAAUGUGGGUGAGUGCAGGUGACACGGGCGCAGUGUGGGGGCAUCUUCCGUGGCCCCUUCCACCGUCGCUCCACUCCUGUCCGCCCCUCGCCCCAGUCGGGCCGUGAGGUCCCGGGGCACACACCCAGGAACAGGCGGGGGCUCCGCGGCGGCACGCCCCACAUGCCUUGCUCUGUGCCUGGCACGGAAACGGGGCUCGAAGGAGAUGCGUGAUUCCAAGCUGCCGCCGCGCCCGUUAGACAAGUCCUGGAACUGUUCCAUGAACACACCUUUAAGAGACUGGCUCCUUCCGCUGAGCUAUGCGAACAGUCAGCACCUUUUUAUCCGAAGAGAGAACUCUCCGCCUUUUUAUCUGACUUGUGGAGACUCCGCAGGGCCUGAGAUUCAAGCAAAGGGCCCACACAGACGGCGGGAGAGAAGGGACAGCCCCCAGCGCGGCCCGAUGGGGCUGGAGGAGAAGCGCUGUCCCCCAGGUCGGAGCCGUCCCGGGGUUGACCUGCGCACAAGCAAACGUGGGCUGAGCCUUUGCUGCUGUUUCCUCCUGCGCAUCUGUCUGCUCUGACGGGCAGUGUUCCCUGGCGGCCAGGUGCAUGGUGGGUGGUGCCACAGGGCUGCCCCUGCAGCCGGGCUCGGCUAAGCGUGGGGGUCUCCCUGCAGCCCACAGCCCGGCACACAGAGGGGCUCCCUCCGCAGGACCAGGCGCCAGCCCCUCGGGCUCUCAGAUGCACGGGGGCAUGUGAUGUUUUCUCUAUCCCCAUUUUACAGCUGAGGACACGAAGGCACAGAGAGGUUGCUGUCUCACCCAAGGUCACCCAGCUGAUGAGCAGCAGGCUGGUCGCGAGUGCCUCCAGCUAGGACACCACAGAGACUCCCCCAGUUUCGGUACCCACCAGUACCUGCGGAGCAAACAGGGACACGGCAGGGCGUGACGGUCCCGGUGGCCAGGGCGCUGCCCGUCCUCACCACCAUCAUCACCGGAGCCCAGCUUGAGGGGGCAAGGCUGACAGACAGCGGGGGACGGCAGCAGGCUCCCCAGAUGCCCCGGCCAGGCCCGUCUGCUCCAUGCCGAGCUUUCGUGGGCCGACGUGGUCCUCCCUGAGCCUGGUCACGUGGCGAAGUCCCCUGGGCACCCCCCCACCCCUCCCUCCUGGGGAUCUGAGGCCUCCUCCCUCAGGGGUCCUAGGUCUCUUCCCACACAGAGCCUAGACUGGCUGUCCAGCGUCAUCCCUGGCCUCCAGGGGCCUGAAGGUCAAGGCGAUGCCGAGAUCAAGAGCACGGGCUUGUGGGCCGUAGACAGGCUUCCCGACAUCUUCUUCCCUGUCAGGAUCGUGGGGACAGGAACAGACCGACCUCCUAGUCAUCAUUUCCUUUCUCAGAACCAGCGGCGCCCACGUUCAGCUCGAGGUCUGAGAGGCUCCCGUGUAUGAGGUCACGCAUGACCCCGUUGGCCGGGUCUGGGCAGAGCAAAGUUUCCAUCAGAGCCACACAAGCCACUGUAGGACCCACAGCUCACAGGGAGGAGAGGGCCACCCACCUGCCAGGCAUGCCCGGGGCAGCAUCGACACAGGGUCACGGCUGCGGGCGUGCGGGGCGUGGCCAUGCGCGAGAAGGUUUGGAGACUCGUCCGCACUGCUGUCGGUUCUCCAGUUCUCUGCUGCCGGCCGUGACCCACUGUCUGAACGCCCCGCCGCCGGCGUGUCCGUCCACCAGCGUGGGACAGCACUUCCUUCCAGUGUGGGGGUCUCAUCGGCUAAGCCACCGGGCACCUUUUCAUACAGGUCUCUCGGGCACAUGCCCAGGAGGGUAAUGACUGAAUCGGCUUAGGUCCCCCCGGCAGCGUCCGAGGGCUCUAGCCUCCUGCACCGUCGCCGACCCUUGACAUUCUGGUGGGUGAGCUGGAUCCCCCGGUGACUUGAACUCAGUUUCCUCUGGUGCGUGCCGAUGCUUGGAGGAGGCCGUGUGUUUCCUGGCCAGCGUGUGUCUUCUUUGCGGAAGUGCACUUGUGGGCCCUGAUGCCACGCUCAUUGUCGCUCUCUGUUUCCCUGAUUUGGGGGAGCUCCUUGUGCACCCUAGAUGGGGUCCUUUAUCGGAUAUGUGUACUUAGAAUGUUUUCUCCCAGUCUGGGGCUCGCCUUUUCACUUUCUUGAUGGUGUCUUUUGGUAAACAGGGGUGUUUUAUUUUGA
Long non-coding RNA from Mustela lutreola (European mink), 8051 nucleotides. RefSeq lists it as uncharacterized. The transcript is spliced from 3 exons. The record is from RefSeq and is a predicted model, not a curated record. Lineage: Eukaryota; Metazoa; Chordata; Mammalia; Carnivora; Mustelidae.